GAUGAACGCUGGCGGCGUGCCUAAUACAUGCAAGUCGAGCGAACAGACGAGGAGCUUGCUCCUUUGACGUUAGCGGCGGACGGGUGAGUAACACGUAGGUAACCUACCUAUAAGACUGGGAUAACUUCGGGAAACCGGAGCUAAUACCGGAUAAUAUUUCGAACCGCAUGGUUCGAUAGUGAAAGAUGGCUUUGCUAUCACUUAUAGAUGGACCUGCGCCGUAUUAGCUAGUUGGUAAGGUAACGGCUUACCAAGGCAACGAUACGUAGCCGACCUGAGAGGGUGAUCGGCCACACUGGAACUGAGACACGGUCCAGACUCCUACGGGAGGCAGCAGUAGGGAAUCUUCCGCAAUGGGCGAAAGCCUGACGGAGCAACGCCGCGUGAGUGAUGAAGGUCUUCGGAUCGUAUAACUCUGUUAUUAGGGAAGAACAAACGUGUAAGUAACUGUGCACGUCUUGACGGUACCUAAUCAGAAAGCCACGGCUAACUACGUG
This 497-nucleotide ribosomal RNA is filed under the name uncultured bacterium. RNAcentral's name for it is "partial 16S ribosomal RNA". It matches the Rfam family "Bacterial small subunit ribosomal RNA", at positions 28 to 507 of the family's 1533-position model. The record is from RNAcentral.